This is a non-coding RNA of Phalacrocorax carbo (great cormorant), 1056 nucleotides long. The record is from RefSeq and is a predicted model, not a curated record. Lineage: Eukaryota; Metazoa; Chordata; Aves; Suliformes; Phalacrocoracidae.
CCAGCACACAAAUUAUGGGAAGUAAAUCGCUCGUAUGUGUGGGACAUACUACUUCCUCGCAGAGAAAUUAAUUUUUGACCUUCUGUUAAAUGCUAAAUACAUUCUUGUGUUUGGGAGAGGGUUGGGAUUUCUUUAACUUUAUCCAGAUGAAGAGUAUUAAGCAAGGGGCAUAGGCAGAGGAUAUUUCUCUCUAAGACUUUCCAGGCGGGUGUCUCAAGCUCGUCCUCUGCAGUGGGCUCAGCAAAGUGGGCUCAAUCUGUUUCUUUUCCAACUCUUGUGAUUGCACUUUCGUUGCUGCUCUGGAACCUCUAAGCACCAACAGGACGGAAGAGGAUAGUGCCAAAAGACAUCGCAGACCUGGGAGCAUGCCGAUGGGCAGUGCCCAGUCCAGCAUUAGGACCAGGCAGGAGGUCUGCCAUGAAGCAAGUGGGAACAAGACUUCACCCUCCACCCAAGAGCUGCGUGGACUGAGCUUUGCUCUCAGCUGGGCACAUCCAGAGCUCUCCUCCGCAUUUCAACCCACCUUACCCUCACAGCACCCUGUUUUGGCCUCCUGACUGUGCUUCAGCGAGGGGGGCUGCCGAGUUUGGACCAGACCCCUGAGCAAUGCCAUGUCCUGUCUCAGAUGCUGGCAAGGAACAAAUGCGUUGGGAAAACUGCAAGAAAAAUCCAGAAUAAGCAAACGUGGAUCAAUAGCAGGAAUCUCUUUCUAACUUCCAGCAAAUAUUGACUUAAACCCCCAGAGCAGACGUGGACAAAUAUUGCCUCAUCAGACCUUUUGGGGGAAUUAAAAAUGUCUUUUCAGUGGAAAAAGAAAAUCUAUGCUUUUUUUGUUUGCUUCUAUUUGAAUGUUCUGCUUUUUUUUGGUUUUGUUUUUGUCUGAAAAGUAAGCUCGAGUAUUUUAAUUUUUGGUCUCUGUGUUCAGAAAUCCUCCCAUUACCCUCAAAGAAAAAACACCAUGAUACAUUAAAAAGAAAACAACAUUCCCUGUAAAAAAGCAAUUGAAGCUUUACAUCAGAUUUGUACUGGAGAAUGAAGAUUUACCUCCCUUCAGAA